This 163-nucleotide non-coding RNA is filed under the name uncultured Lachnospira sp. Lineage: Bacteria; Bacillati; Bacillota; Clostridia; Lachnospirales; Lachnospiraceae. The record is from RNAcentral.
AUGGGAGAAAAUUAGAAACUCUUAGCAGGACUUUAGUAACCAGUGAUGAGCAGCCAUGGAGGGCUGCUCAAGCCUUAUUGUGCCAUGGAUGGCACAUAUAAGGUGGUCACGUCACUUGUCAUUAAAUAAAACAAGUCAUGCUUAGAGUUUCUUAUUUUCGUAC